This 913-nucleotide ribosomal RNA is filed under the name uncultured archaeon. RNAcentral's name for it is "bacterial SSU rRNA". It matches the Rfam family "Archaeal small subunit ribosomal RNA", at positions 1 to 924 of the family's 1478-position model. The record is from RNAcentral.
UUCCGGUUGAUCCUGCCGGAGAAUACCGCUAUUCGGAUUCGACUAAGACAUGCAAGUCGAGAGUCUUCGGGACUCGGCAUACUGCUCAGUAAUAUGUGGUUAACCUACCCUAUACUCAGGGAUAAUCUCGGGAAACUGAGGCUAAUACCUGAUAGAUAUCCUGUUCUGGAAUGACAGAAUAUCCAAAGGUGACGGUAUAGGAUGGGACCAUACCUUAUCAGCCUGUUGGAGGUGUAAAGAACCCUCAAAGCUAUAACGGGUACGGGCCAUGAGAGUGGGAGCCCGGAGAUGGAUUCUGAGACAUGAAUCCAGGUCCUACGGGACGCAGCAGUUACGAAAACUUCGCAAUGCUCUAACGAGCGACGAGGGAAUCCGGAGUGCUCAUGCUUUGCAUGAGCUUUUGUUUACUUCAAACAGGUAAACGAAUAAGGGGUGGGUAAUACGAGUGCCAGCCGCCGCGGUAAUACUCGAGCCCCAAGUGGUAUUCACGAUUAGUGGGUCUAAAGCGUCCGUAGCCGGUUCGAUAAGUCCCUAGUGAAAUCCUUUGGUAAACUGAAGGGCCUGCUGGGGGUACUGCCGAACUUGGGACUGGGAGAGGGUAGACGUACUCCCGGGGGAGGGGUAAAAUCCUAUAAUCCUGGGGGGACGACCUGUGGCGAAGGCUUCUACCUAGAACAGGUUCGACGGUGAGGGACGAAACCUAGGGUAGCAAACGGGAUUAGAUACCCCGGUAGUCCUAGGCGUAAACGAUGCCCGUUUGGUGUUGCAAACCUUACGAGGGUCUGCAGUGCCGGAAUGUAGAUGUUAAACGGGCCACCUGGGGAGUACGGUCGCAAGACUGAAACUUAAAGGAAUUGGCGGGGGAGCACUACAAGGGUGAAGCCUGCGGUUCAAUUGGAAUCAACGCCGGAAA